AUACGGAGGGUGCGAGCGUUGUUCGGAAUUACUGGGCGUAAAGGGCGCGUAGGCGGCUUCACAAGUCAGGUGUGAAAGUCCACGGCUCAACCGUGGAAGUGCAUUUGAAACUGUAAGGCUUGAGUACUGGAGGGGAGUGUGGAAUUCCUGGUGUAGAGGUGAAAUUCGUAGAGAUCAGGAGGAAUACCGGUGGCGAAGGCGACACUCUGGACAGAUACUGACGCUGAGGCGCGAAAGCGUGGGGAGCAAACAGGAUUAGAAACCCUAGUAGUCC
This 274-nucleotide ribosomal RNA is filed under the name uncultured bacterium. RNAcentral's name for it is "partial 16S ribosomal RNA". It matches the Rfam family "Bacterial small subunit ribosomal RNA", at positions 523 to 796 of the family's 1533-position model. The record is from RNAcentral.